Molecule: long non-coding RNA, 824 nt
Filed under: Vulpes vulpes (red fox)
Lineage: Eukaryota; Metazoa; Chordata; Mammalia; Carnivora; Canidae
Description: lncRNA (ENSVVUG00000010236.1)
Source: RNAcentral
CAUUUUUGCUCAAUAUUUUCGCAAGGUGAAAUAUUCUCAGAAUUCACAUGUCUGUUAUUUGCUUUGAAAAUGGGUGUCGUCGCCCUGUUUUCCUCUCGGCUCUGAAGGACAUAGGUGGCUUGAAGAGUGCGCUGUGAUGUCAGAGACAAAGUGAAUUGCGCGGCCAACACCACCAGGUAAAUGUCACCUUGUGCCUGGCAGACUCUCCUACCUGCUUCUUGUGAAUUGGUGGGAUCAUCGGCCUCAACAUAGAGCAGCUCGAAGCCUCCUAGUACCGGGUGAGGCAAAGUCCAUUCUCAAGCCUGAUCACCCAGAUGGAACAGAGAAAUCUGUUACCGGCCUCUGAACAUCAACAGCGCAUAAUUAGCAGCUGCUAAAAUAAUGGAAGUCAAUUGAACAAAAAUGUGGCGCGUUCUGCCUUCAUUUAUUAAAUACCUUAUGUUUCCAAACACUGUGCUCCACAGCGGCUGAAGGGCCUUCGAGGGGCAUCGCAGCAAGUAUCCCUCCCUGGGCACCAGACACAAAGAACCGACUGACUUUUGUGAUGAACUUUCCAAACGAGCUGUUGCUACAGCCGACAAACCGACAAGCCGGCCGAGGGACCCGACUACUUCCCCUGAGCCCGACGACAAAAUAGAUUUGUCGCAAGCAAACUACAAUCUUCCUUUGAAGACAUGGAUGACAUAGUAAAACCGAUUGCACUUGAGAGCCGAUUCCAUGACUAUUUUGCUGCAACAGCCCUUUUGUUCCAGAGCGUGUUACGGUUUCACAGAGGAGAGGGAGACUCGAGGCUGCAUGACUUGGUAUCACCUUGGAGAGGAUGA